GAUGAACGCUGGCGGCGUGCCUAAUACAUGCAAGUCGAGCGAACAGACGAGGAGCUUGCUCCUCUGACGUUAGCGGCGGACGGGUGAGUAACACGUGGAUAACCUACCUAUAAGACUGGGAUAACUUCGGGAAACCGGAGCUAAUACCGGAUAAUAUAUUGAACCGCAUGGUUCAAUAGUGAAAGACGGUUUUGCUGUCACUUAUAGAUGGAUCCGCGCCGCAUUAGCUAGUUGGUAAGGUAACGGCUUACCAAGGCAACGAUGCGUAGCCGACCUGAGAGGGGUGGCCGCCAGCCGUGAGACGGGGCCCCGGCCGGGCCCCCUCGGGGAGGCGCAGGAGGGAAUUCUUCGGAAGGGGCGAAGGGCCGGCGGAGGCACCCCCGGGGGGGUGAGGAGGUUCUCCGUAUCAUAAAACUUUUUUAUGGGGGAAAAACAAUUUUGAAAUAACCUUUGCCCGCCUGCGGGUACCCUAAUAGGAAGCCCCGCACAACCUCCUGC
This 498-nucleotide ribosomal RNA is filed under the name uncultured bacterium. RNAcentral describes it as "partial 16S ribosomal RNA". It matches the Rfam family "Bacterial small subunit ribosomal RNA", at positions 28 to 508 of the family's 1533-position model. The record is from RNAcentral.